AACGGCGCUUAUGCGUUAGAUGCGGUUGCAUCAAGAUCAUUAAAUCGUGACAUCAAUGCUUCAAUCAACAUUCGAACACUGUUUUAUUGCGACACAUAUGAUGUGUCACGGCCUGCAAAUUUCACUGAACCGGCACCAAGACAAAACAAUCGAACUAAAAGACGAAAAUUGGAAUUGGAUGAAGCAAGAAGACGUGCCACCAAAAAUUAUCAUCGCACCAAACAUCGUCGUAACAAUCCAAAUGCCAGUGGACUACAACCAAAACCGACAACAUUGGCUGCCUGUUAUCUUGGUAAAUUUGAUAGUUUCACCGAAGACUACCAUUGUGACAGUAAUAGUGGUGCAUCAGUAGUAUCAUCUUCGGAGAGCGAUCACAGUGACAACUACAGCGACUACAACGACGAGUGCGAGUGAACAAAGAUGAUGUUGGAUGAUGACAGCAACGAAUAUCACUUAAGAUUAGUUUUAAGAGAAAAAUACAAAUGAUAUUACCAUUAUAGAACUUAGUUCUACGUCGUGUCAGUGGCUGCUGAAAAGUCGAAAGAGACUAUUCUUGCAGCAUAGGGCGCACACUAUUCGGCGUUCCGUUCGCAAGAACUGGAGUGCUUUGAAUCAACCAGCUAUGCGGAAUUUGUCGUUAGUUUGCUCAAUGAAUACGGCCGGAAUAAGUGGUGCAAUGACAUGUGCACACUCGUAUGUUUGUAUAACGGCUUCGUUCGCUCCGAAUUGGAUUUUAAAGUACCGAAGUAGAUGCAGUGAAGAUCUCUACGUUUAUAAUAAUCAAAGAAUAAAAUACAGUUGACUUUCAAAAUUAUAAAAAAAAAUUCAUUUUCAACUUUUUAUAAAAACUUUUGAUUAAAAACAUAUUUUCCAUUAUUCCAUUAACAUAAAAAAACAACAAUUCACCAUUUUUCUUCUCUCAUGAAGUAUUCCUCCAUUUACAUUCAAAAUAAUUUGUUUCCUUUUUACUAAAUAAAAAAAAUUACAUAAAGUGUUUAAUAAUAAGGUCAUAAUUACAUUAUUGUUCUUUGAAUGUCUGGAUUGUUUGCUGUAUUUCUUUUUUGUAUUCAGAUAUUUUAAAUAUAUAACUGUACAAUGAUUUUCAGGUCUAUAGAAUAUUUUCCAUGGAUAAGUUGAAAAGAAACUCAAAUGUCAAGGAGUGCUGAAAUAUGGUGACAUGAUUAUGUUUCUCAUUUUUACUCUCCCAAAACCAAAUAACAUGAAAAAUUAACUUUUAGUUGGAACAGCCAUAAUAUUAAUCUGUCUGAUUUAAAUUCAAUUCAGUUCACGUGAACACCUCGUGUAAAUUCACAGUAAUCAAUUCAGAAGACUUUUAAAAUAAAAUAACAAAAUAUGUCGGAGUAUUUUUAGUAAUCAUUACAAACGAGUUUGAUACAUUUAAUUCACAGAUUCGAAAUUCUAUUAUCAUUAAAUUAAACUUUUCAAACAAAACAUUCAUAAAAUAGUGCCAUUUAAAAAAAAAAUAAACAUUACAAUACAUGGCAACAAUUCAAUAAAUUACGAAUUUCAAUUAAUGUAAGUUAGUGCGAAAUCAAAAUUGGGUCAAUUUAUACUUGAAAAAAAGAAAGAAAAAUCAUAUAUUCUAAAAACA
Long non-coding RNA from Sitodiplosis mosellana (orange wheat blossom midge), 1612 nucleotides. RefSeq lists it as uncharacterized. NCBI's taxonomy places the organism in Eukaryota, Metazoa, Arthropoda, Insecta, Diptera, Cecidomyiidae. The transcript has 3 exons. The record is from RefSeq and is a predicted model, not a curated record.